GACGAACGCUGGCGGCGUGCUUAACACAUGCAAGUCGAACGGAAAGGCCCUGCUUUUGUGGGGUGCUCGAGUGGCGAACGGGUGAGUAACACGUGAGUAACCUGCUCUUGACUUUGGGAUAACUUCAGGAAACUGGGGCUAAUACCGGAUAGGAGCUCCUGCUGCAUGGUGGGGGUUGGAAAGUUUCGGCGGUUGGGGAUGGACUCGCGGCUUAUCCGCUUGUUGGUGGGGUAGUGGCUUACCAAGGCUUUGACGGGUAGCCGGCCUGAGAGGGUGACCGGCCACAUUGGGACUGCGAUACGGCCCAGACUCCUACGGGAGGCAGCAGUGGGGAAUAUUGCACAAUGGGCGGAAGCCUGAUGCAGCAACGCCGCGUGCGGGAUGACGGCCCUCGGGUUGUAAACCGCUUUCGCAUGUGACGAAGCGUGAGUGACGGUAAUGGGUAAAGAAGCACCGGCUAACUACGUG
Molecule: ribosomal RNA, 468 nt
Filed under: uncultured bacterium
Lineage: Bacteria
Description: partial 16S ribosomal RNA
Rfam family: Bacterial small subunit ribosomal RNA
Source: RNAcentral